Molecule: ribosomal RNA, 468 nt
Filed under: uncultured bacterium
Lineage: Bacteria
Description: bacterial SSU rRNA
Rfam family: Bacterial small subunit ribosomal RNA
Source: RNAcentral
GAUGAACGCUGGCGGCGUGCUUAACACAUGCAAGUCGAACGAAGCAUUUAAGACAGAUUACUUCGGUUUGAAGUCUUUUAUGACUGAGUGGCGGACGGGUGAGUAACGCGUGGGUAACCUGCCUCAUGCAGGGGGAUAGCAGCUGGAAACGGCUGGUAAUACCGCAUAAGCGCACGGUAUCGCAUGAUACAGUGUGAAAAACUCCGGUGGUAUGAGAUGGACCCGCGUCUGAUUAGCUGGUUGGUGAGGUAACGGCCCACCAAGGCGACGAUCAGUAGCCGACCUGAGAGGGUGACCGGCCACAUUGGGACUGAGACACGGCCCAGACUCCUACGGGAGCAGCAGUGGGGAAUAUUGCACAAUGGGGGAAACCCUGAUGCAGCGACGCCGCGUGAAGGAAGAAGUAUUUCGGUAUGUAAAGCUCUGUCAGCAGGGAANAUAAUGACGGUACUGACCAAGAAGCCCCGG